AGUGCUGGGGUGUAUAUAAGCAGUCCUCCCUGGGUUUCCGGGGUCCCCGUAGCAUCGAGGUGUUCCUGAAAUAAAAAAGGCUGUUGAGAAGAAUUCGACCAUGUUGCGUUUUUUCUUGCUGGACCAGGUGAGCGCAACAGCAGACCAAGACAACAGACCAUCAGGGCCUUCUUUGCUUCUGUGAGUUUCAAGCAGCUGCCUGACCUCUGAGGGCAGUUCCUGUAAAAUGGGCUGCACUGUACUCCCUAGAGAGAUUUGGCCUGAUCAAAUCAAAGUCCGGGAGAGAGGGAGAGAAAACUGCACUCUUAGCAGGUCAUUCGUUCAGGGAUGGCUUCAGAGCAGUGUGGCUUGGCGUUGGGGAGACUUCCUUCAGCCACUGUGGAAGCAGCAGCUGCCAGAGGCGUCCAUGGCAAGAGAGAUGCCCUAGGUUCCAGGCUUUGGAAGAAGGAAGGCUGCAUACCCACAGGAAGAUUCUCCAGGACCUGGGAAACAGCCCCCAACCUCCCCUCCCCACCAAGGAAAGGGCCAAGCUGAAUCAAGCCCUGUAACCCUACAAGUAGAAGGUACUACAGC
RNAcentral lists this long non-coding RNA (573 nucleotides) under Mus spretus (western wild mouse). RNAcentral's name for it is "predicted gene 14222 (ENSMSPG00010035723.1)". Lineage: Eukaryota; Metazoa; Chordata; Mammalia; Rodentia; Muridae. The record is from RNAcentral.